CGGGACACGUGAAACCCUGUGGGAAGCAGGAGGGACCACCCUCCAAGGCUAAAUACUACCUAGUGACCGAUAGCGUAUAGUACCGUGAGGGAAAGGUGAAAAGAACCCCGGGAGGGGAGGGAAAUAGAACCUGAAACCCUGCACUUACAAGCUGUGGAAGCACAUUUCUUGUGUGACCGCGUACUUUUUGUAGAACGGGCCAACGAGUUACGUUAAGUAGCAAGGUUAAGCACUUAAGGUGUGGAGC
This 247-nucleotide ribosomal RNA is filed under the name Clostridioides difficile. Its description in RNAcentral is "partial 23S ribosomal RNA". It matches the Rfam family "Bacterial large subunit ribosomal RNA", at positions 418 to 666 of the family's 2925-position model. The record is from RNAcentral. Lineage: Bacteria; Bacillati; Bacillota; Clostridia; Peptostreptococcales; Peptostreptococcaceae.